RNAcentral lists this long non-coding RNA (1298 nucleotides) under Spirodela polyrhiza (greater duckweed). Its description in RNAcentral is "long non-coding RNA (SPOL_LNC000392)". The record is from RNAcentral. Lineage: Eukaryota; Viridiplantae; Streptophyta; Magnoliopsida; Alismatales; Araceae.
AGGAGGAGAGAGAAGGAUUGGAUCGCCCUUUUCUCUCUCUCCCCAAUCCUCUCUGCCCGUCGGUCGGCCAUCCAUGGAUCGCCUCAUGUCCUCGAUCUGCUUGAUCAUCCUCUUCUCCGCAUCGCUGAUUGCAGAUGGCUACUCGAUCCCCCGGAGUGAUGCCGACGACGAGCUCCUGAUCCGGCAGGUGGUGUCUGACGCCGACGUCGCAUCGGAGAAGGAUGAGGCGGUUCUGGGGGCGGAGGGGCACUUCGCCAGCUUCCUGAAGACGUAUGGGAAGUCGUACGCCACUCCGGCGGAGCACAGCUACCGGUUCUCCGUGUUCAAGGCCAAUCUCCGCCGGGCGCGGAGGCACCAGCUGAUGGAUCCGUCUGCCGUACAUGGGAUUACCCAGUUUUCCGAUCUCACACCGGAGGAGUUCGAGCGGAACUACCUCGGCCUCCACCGCAGGAAGCCCACCAUGUUCUCGAAGGUGGGAAACGGUGGUGCGCACGAGGCGCCGCUCCUCCCCACCAGCGACCUGCCCCAGAACUUCGAUUGGAGAGAUCACGGUGCCGUUACCCCUGUCAAGAAUCAGGUCGGUAGAGGGCGAUCUCUAUGCAUCGUAUCUAGUUAUCUCUUGCGUGUCUAUGGGUCAUUACUUUGGCGUCCGGAUUGUAGGGCUCUUGUGGAUCUUGCUGGUCUUUCAGCGCAGCGGGGGCUCUGGAAGGGGCCCACUUUCUGGCGACGGGAAAUCUAGUGAGCCUCAGCGAGCAGCAGCUUGUAGAUUGUGAUCACGAGGUAUGUCUUUCUAUCCCAGAAGACUAGGCCUUUUGUGUGUUUUCCUCUGAACAACGCGUCCCAUCUACCGCUUUUGGGACUUCUGGCCCGCACGGUUGCUGAGGUUGGUUACAACUACCACAUCGGAUUUUUUUGGAUCAUUUGCGUCAUAUGUUUAGGACAUGAUACGUGCAUAAUACCUACGUAUUCAUGUGCCUAUAUCUCUCAAGUAGACUUCUUCGAAUCUAUCCAUGAAAGUUGUGAUAAUACGUUUGAUGAGUGACAUUCACAUGUCUGAGUCUUUUAUGAGGAAUCAACAAUCCAUGGAUAUCUAUGGAUUCCUGUUCUGCCAUAUCCCCUCAGUUUUUCCUGAAUUUAUUCCAGCUUCUUCAGGGAGCAGGUCUUAUAUUAUUUAUAGGUUUGUCAAAAAAGUGUGAUUUUUUCUUUUCUAGCUGUAUGAACCAUGCAAUUAUUUUGCAGUGUGAUGCGUCUGAUCCUGGAGCCUGUGAUGCGGGAUGCAACGGUGGACUGAUGACCAC